GUAGGGUGCGAGCGUUGUCCGGAAUUACUGGGCGUAAAGAGCUCGUAGGUGGUUUGUCGCGUUGUCCGUGAAAACUCACAGCUUAACUGUGGGCGUGCGGGCGAUACGGGCAGACUGGAGUACUGCAGGGGAGACUGGAAUUCCUGGUGUAGCGGUGGAAUGCGCAGAUAUCAGGAGGAACACCGGUGGCGAAGGCGGGUCUCUGGGCAGUAACUGACGCUGAGGAGCGAAAGCGUGGGGAGCGAACAGGAUUAGAUACCCUGGUAGUCCACGCCGUAAACGGUGGGUACUAGGUGUGGGUUUCCUUCCUUGGGAUCCGUGCCGUAGCUAACGCAUUAAGUACCCCGCCCGGGGAGUACGGCCGCAAGGCUA
RNAcentral lists this ribosomal RNA (372 nucleotides) under uncultured bacterium. RNAcentral describes it as "bacterial SSU rRNA". It matches the Rfam family "Bacterial small subunit ribosomal RNA", at positions 527 to 896 of the family's 1533-position model. The record is from RNAcentral.